This 497-nucleotide ribosomal RNA is filed under the name uncultured bacterium. Its description in RNAcentral is "partial 16S ribosomal RNA". It matches the Rfam family "Bacterial small subunit ribosomal RNA", at positions 28 to 507 of the family's 1533-position model. The record is from RNAcentral.
GAUGAACGCUGGCGGCGUGCCUAAUACAUGCAAGUCGAGCGAACGGACGAGAAGCUUGCUUCUCUGAUGUUAGCGGCGGACGGGUGAGUAACACGUGGAUAACCUACCUAUAAGACUGGGAUAACUUCGGGAAGCCGGAGCUAAUACCGGAUAAUAUUUUGAACCGCAUGGUUCAAAAGUGAAAGACGGUCUUGCUGUCACUUAUAGAUGGAUCCGCGCUGCAUUAGCUAGUUGGUAAGGUAACGGCUUACCAAGGCAACGAUGCAUAGCCGACCUGAGAGGGUGAUCGGCCACACUGGAACUGAGACACGGUCCAGACUCCUACGGGAGGCAGCAGUAGGGAAUCUUCCGCAAUGGGCGAAAGCCUGACGGAGCAACGCCACGUGAGUGAUGAAGGUCUUCGGAUCGUAAAACUCUGUUAUUAGGGAAGAACAUAUGUGUAAGUAACUGUGCACAUCUUGACGGUACCUAAUCAGAAAGCCACGGCUAACUACGUG